UACGUAGGUGGCAAGCGUUGUCCGGAAUUAUUGGGCGUAAAGGGCGUGUAGGUGGAUUCUUAAGUCGUGUGUCUAAGUGCGGAGCUCAACUCCGUAUGGGCGCAGGAAACUGGGAAUCUUGAGUGCAGGAGAGGAAAGUGGAAUUCCCAGUGUAGCGGUGAAAUGCGUAGAUAUUGGGAGGAACACCAGUGGCGAAGGCGACUUUCUGGACUGUGUCUGACACUGAGGCGCGAAAGCUAGGGGAGCGAACGGG
Molecule: ribosomal RNA, 253 nt
Filed under: uncultured bacterium
Lineage: Bacteria
Also listed under: 1 other name
Description: partial 16S ribosomal RNA
Rfam family: Bacterial small subunit ribosomal RNA
Source: RNAcentral